CCCUUAGAUGUUCUGGGCCGCACGCGUGCUACACUGGUGACCGCAACGAGUUCUUUUCCUUGGCCGAUAGGUCCGGGUAAACUUGUCAAAGGUCACCGUGAUUGGGAUCGAUGAUUGCAAUUCUUCAUCGUGAACGAGGAAUGUUUAGUAAGUGCCAGUCAUCAACUGGCGUUGACUACGUCCCUGCCCUUUGUACACACCGCCCGUCGCUUCUACCGAUUGAACGCUCCGGUGAACUGCUGUGGACUGGCUGUCGGCUCUUCGGAGUCCGACGCUGGGAACGGCCGUAAAUCUAGGCGUUUAGAGGAAGAAGAAGUCGUAACA
RNAcentral lists this ribosomal RNA (324 nucleotides) under uncultured eukaryote. RNAcentral's name for it is "partial 18S ribosomal RNA". It matches the Rfam family "Eukaryotic small subunit ribosomal RNA", at positions 1470 to 1796 of the family's 1831-position model. The record is from RNAcentral.